This 594-nucleotide long non-coding RNA is filed under the name Homo sapiens (human). RNAcentral's name for it is "non-protein coding lnc-TMIGD1-3:2". The record is from RNAcentral. Lineage: Eukaryota; Metazoa; Chordata; Mammalia; Primates; Hominidae.
CCGGCCUCUCCAGCAGCUGCACAGGCCUGCAGUAGGAUGGAGGCCGCGUCACUGCCCCUGCUUCUAAAUGGAGAGCAUUUUGCCAAACCUUCCUGGGAGAGGCUGGGGGCUCAUCCCUGUUGUCUGUUCCAUCUUGGUAAAGCCAGGUUAAGACAUCUGGGUAAGCAGACAGUAGAGUGGCACCCAGGAAGGGUGGGUGGAGGGCGCUGGCAUUUAGGCUUGCCUGGACCAUGGUGGGAGGGGGAAGGUUACCAGGAAGCAGUGCUGUCAGGGCUAAAGUCAGGAGGAGGUGGUUAUGCUGGUGAGGCAGGGGUGUGGCUGGCUUGCGGUGGGGCAUAAAUGAGAGCCAAGGUUUGUCAGCAUGCAGAAGAGGCAGCUGACUCAUCCCUAGGGGCUGCGGAGGAGGUCGGGUCACUCUUGAUCCCAGUUCCCAGUGAAAACUGGAGGUUGCCAUCACCUAACCACACAUGCAAUAAAGUCUUCUGCCUGCUGCUUACAGCCCCCGAGAACCUUCUCCGAGAGAAUAAAACCUUUGACUGCUGCUCUUCCUGAGUGGAUUUUGUUUGUGUCUUCUGAUGAACUGUGAUGUCCCGU